RNAcentral lists this non-coding RNA (1180 nucleotides) under Pongo abelii (Sumatran orangutan). Lineage: Eukaryota; Metazoa; Chordata; Mammalia; Primates; Hominidae. The record is from RNAcentral.
GGCGGAGAGUAGAGAGCUAGACGGUGAGAAGCGCUGGGCCCGACUAGAACUGUCUUCGCUUUUCCCUCUGCGGCUGCUCUGGCUGGUUACUUUGAGCCUUCCUCCUCAGCGCCGCAGGAGAAACUCAACAGCAAAAAUGACUGUGUCCUGAGUUCAGCCCCCACUGCUCUGGGAGCUUCCCCCUGGUUUCUGCACCUGAAGAAUGUCUUCCCAGCCGAAGGUUCUUAGGAGCGGGGAGCGACAAAGAAAAACAAAGAAAAGCAGACCUGAAAAUUGGGACGUGGGAGAAAUAGACGAGUGCUCUAAACCAGUAUCAUGGCUCCAGUUCCUGACAAGGAUUCACAUGGGGUUGCCAUUCUGACUGUGCUGGUGACGCUGGUUCCAGGACCCUCAGGAACCCCUCCCCCAGUCUGGUCUGCCCUUGAACUCUGUACUGGCCCCGGGGUAUCCCAGGAUUGUCAGAAAGGCCUGGCCAGGAUUCACCUGGGAGAGGGAUCAGCAUCUCUGCAAAGUUGUUGGAUUGAAAGAACUUUCAUUUUGAGCUACAUCAUUGAAGAGCUUUAAAUCUGAAAAUAAGAAAGACGUUGAACCCUAUUACUCACAUCUCUUUGUCAUUUGAAGCAGAUCCCGAACCACUCAAAAGGACAAAACAAGGAAAUAAUAAUGAAAUUGGAUUCAGUGAAUGGGGUAAGGGUAUUAAGUGUCUGAAAUAUAAGAGAUAAAAAAAUUAGUUUUUACGUUUUUUUCUAUUUUCUAAAUGUUUUGGUGGCUAGAAUAAGAUAUACUUUGAACUCAAGAGCAAUAAAUGUUAAUAUAUUAAAAGUAGCUUUAUGAAAUAUGGAAAGUAUCUAUUUCAAAAUACUUCAAAGUAAUCAUCUGAAUAUUUAUCAGAAAUAUUAAGACAACUUAUUAAAUCCUGUAUUAAAAUGAUUGCUUAUUACUUUUUGUUUAUACUAGUCAGAAGUGAUUCUCUUCCACAUUUUAGAUUUUUCAGAGUAAAAAGGAUAUAAUUUUAGACUUUGAAUUGAAUAUAAACUGGGUUUUUCCACACAAUUUGUGGACAUGACUGUCUGAUGGUGACUCUUAGAUAUUUAUGCUAAAAAUGUUAUUUUGGGGAUCCUUGGGAAUGGACUCUGAUAUUUAUUUAUUUAUUUAUUUUUUUUUUUUUUUUUUUGAGGCG